This 1269-nucleotide long non-coding RNA is filed under the name Homo sapiens (human). Its description in RNAcentral is "HSALNT0333476". The record is from RNAcentral. Lineage: Eukaryota; Metazoa; Chordata; Mammalia; Primates; Hominidae.
CUUCCGGUUGCUAACGGUUCCCAAACAGCCCCCGAAAACGCUACGUGAGCUGGGCCCUGGGCCAGAGGCAGAAAACGGACGGAAGAAAAGGUCUGGCCGGUUCAUCAAGCUCUCUCUCCAGAUCCUCCAGUACCGUCACUGCCUCCUCUCCAGUCUCUGGAUGGUGUGCACGCACCCAUGCUUGCAGGUCUUUAGGAAGAAUGCUCAGGAACUGUUCUAGCACCAGCAGGUCUAAAAUCUGCUCCUUGGUGUGGCAUUCUGGCCUCAGCCACUGACGGCAGAGCUCCCACAGCUGGGAGAUGGGUCUCACUCUGUCACCCAGACUGGAGUGCAGUGAGUGGUGCGAUCAUAGCUUACUGCAGCCUGAAACUCCUGGGCUCAAGUGAUCUUCUCGCCUCAGCCUCCUGAGUAGCUGGAGCUACAGGCCUCUGACAAUAUGAUACUAAGCCAUCAUAGCCCCUGUGACCGCCACGUAUACAUCCAGAUGACCUGGAGCAACUGAAGAACCACAAAAGAUGGCAUUCCACCAUUGAGAUUUGUUCCUGCCCCACCCCAACUAAUCAAUCGACCUUGUGACAUUCCCCCUGCCCCCGACAGUGAGUCUCAUGAUCUCCCCACCCAGCACCUUGGCACCUUGUGACCCCCGCCCCUGCCCACAAGAGAUAACCACCUUUAACUGUAAUUUUCCACUACCUACCCAAAUCCUAUAAAACUGCCCCACCCCUAUCUCCCUUUGCUGACUCUCUUUUUGGACUCAGCCCACUUGCACCCAAGUGAAAUAAACAGCCUUGUUGCUCACACAAAGCCUGUUGGUGGACUCUCUUCACACAGACUCACUUGACAUUUAUAGAACACAAAAUUAAGAAUAGUGAAUAUGAAAAGGUUCACUAAUAAGAAUUUAAACAAAACAAGAAAGAUUUUUAAGAUUGCUAAAGACAAACGAUUUAUAAUAUUCAGUGUUAGGAGGUGUGUGGAUAUACAGGCAUACUUAGUUUUACAUUUUUAGAAGGUAAGACUUAUUUAGAAGGUAAGAAGUUGUCCAUACCCCUUGAUUCAACAACUUAGCUUCUUGGAAUUAUCCAUAUAGAAAUGCUUACAUAAAUGUUUGAACGUAUGUACAAAGAAGCACUAUUUAUUUAAAUUGGGAAACUUGAAUGCCUAACAUUUGGAAUUUAAAUUUUUAUAUGUCUAUUCAUUAAAAUACCACCCAGUUUUUAGAAACUAAGAGAUGCUAAAGGUAUAUUGAGUAAAAUAAAAAGUUACAAAAGA